UACGUAGGCAGCGAGCGUUAUUCGGAAUCACUGGGCGUAAAGGGUGCGUAGACGGCAUGUUAAGUUCGUUGUUAAAGGCUCCGGCCUAACCGGAGUACCGCGAUGAAAACUGGCGUACUAGAGGGUGAGAGAGAGAAGUGGAAUUCCUGGAGUAGCGGUAAAAUGCGUGGAUCUCAGGUGGAACACCAAUGGCGAAGGCAGCUUCUUGGCUCAUUCCUGACGUUGAGGCACGAAAGCGUGGGGAGCAAACAGG
This 253-nucleotide ribosomal RNA is filed under the name uncultured bacterium. RNAcentral describes it as "partial 16S ribosomal RNA". It matches the Rfam family "Bacterial small subunit ribosomal RNA", at positions 524 to 776 of the family's 1533-position model. The record is from RNAcentral.